GUGGGGAAUAUUGGGCAAUGGGGGAAACCCUGACCCAGCAACGCCGCGUGAAGGAAGAAGGUUUUCGGAUCGUAAACUUCUAUCCUUGGUGAAGAUAAUGACGGUAGCCAAGAAGGAAGCCCCGGCUAACUACGUGCCAGCAGCCGCGGUAAUACGUAGGGGGCAAGCGUUGUCCGGAAUGAUUGGGCGUAAAGGGCGCGUAGGCGGCCUGGUAAGUCUGGAGUGAAAGUCCUGCUUUUAAGGUGGGAAUUGCUUUGGAUACUGUCGGGCUUGAGUGCAGGAGGGGUAAGCGGAAUUCCCGGUGUAGCGGUGAAAUGCGUAGAGAUCGGGAGGAACACCAGUGGCGAAGGCGGCUUACUGGACUGUAACUGACGCUGAGGCGCGAAAGUGUGGGGAGCAAACAGGAUUAGAUACCCUAGUAGUCC
This 425-nucleotide ribosomal RNA is filed under the name uncultured bacterium. Its description in RNAcentral is "partial 16S ribosomal RNA". It matches the Rfam family "Bacterial small subunit ribosomal RNA", at positions 354 to 796 of the family's 1533-position model. The record is from RNAcentral.